GUUAUGGUUCAGUGGUAGAGCACUUGUCUCACGUGCAUGGGGCACUGGGUUCAACCCUCAGCACCACA
RNAcentral lists this transfer RNA (68 nucleotides) under Marmota monax (woodchuck). Its description in RNAcentral is "tRNA.Val". The record is from RNAcentral. Lineage: Eukaryota; Metazoa; Chordata; Mammalia; Rodentia; Sciuridae.